Molecule: unclassified non-coding RNA, 324 nt
Filed under: soil metagenome
Description: partial contains 5.8S ribosomal RNA, internal transcribed spacer 2, and large subunit ribosomal RNA
Rfam family: 5.8S ribosomal RNA (bases 1-120)
Source: RNAcentral
GAUGAAGAACGCAGCGAAAUGCGAUAAGUAGUGUGAAUUGCAGAAUUCAGUGAAUCAUCGAAUCUUUGAACGCACAUUGCGCCCCUUGGUAUUCCAUGGGGCAUGCCUGUUCGAGCGUCAUUUGUACCUUCAAGCUUUGCUUGGUGUUGGGUGUUUGUCCUGAGGGACUCGCCUUAAAGUAAUUGGCAGCCAGUGUUUUGGUUUUGAAGCGCAGCACAAGUCGCGAUUCAAAGCUAUACGCCAGCUUCCACAAGCCUUUUUCACUUUUGACCUCGGAUCAGGUAGGGAUACCCGCUGAACUUAAGCAUAUCAAUAAGCGGAGGA